RNAcentral lists this ribosomal RNA (497 nucleotides) under uncultured bacterium. RNAcentral's name for it is "partial 16S ribosomal RNA". It matches the Rfam family "Bacterial small subunit ribosomal RNA", at positions 28 to 507 of the family's 1533-position model. The record is from RNAcentral.
GAUGAACGCUGGCGGCGUGCCUAAUACAUGCAAGUCGAGCGAACGGACGAGAAGCUUGCUUCUCUGAUGUUAGCGGCGGACGGGUGAGUAACACGUGGAUAACCUACCUAUAAGACUGGGAUAACUUCGGGAAACCGGAGCUAAUACCGGAUAAUAUUGUGAACCGCAUGGCUCAAAAGUAAAAGACGGUCUUGCUGCAACUCAUAGAUGGAUUGGCUCUGAAUUAGCUAGUUGGGAAGGUAACGGCUUACUAAGGCAACGAUCCUUAGCCGACCUGAGAGGUGGAUCGCCAACACUGGAACUGAGACACGGCCCAGACUCCCACGGGAGGAACCAGUGGGGAACUUUGGGCAAUGGGCGAAAGCCUGACGAAGCACCGCCGCGUGAGGGAGGAAGGUCUCCGGUUCGUAAAACCCUUUUAUAAGGAAAGAACAGAUUUGGAGUUAAAUGUGCACAUCUUGACGGUACCUAAUCAGAAAGCCACGGCUAACUACGUG